CAGUCGCCGCGGGAAUACGAAGGGUGCAAGCGUUACUCGGAAUUACUGGGCGUAAAGCGUGCGUAGGUGGUGGUUUAAGUCCGUUGUGAAAGCCCUGGGCUCAACCUGGGAAUUGCAGUGGAUACUGGGUCACUAGAGUGUGUCAGAGGAUGGUGGAAUUCCCGGUGUAGCGGUGAAAUGCGUAGAGAUCGGGAGGAACAUCAGUGGCGAAGGCGGCCAUCUGGGACAACACUGACGCUGAGGCACGAAAGCGUGGGGAGCAAACAGGAUUAGAUACCCCCGUAGUCCCUGUCUCUUAUAC
This 301-nucleotide ribosomal RNA is filed under the name uncultured bacterium. RNAcentral describes it as "partial 16S ribosomal RNA". It matches the Rfam family "Bacterial small subunit ribosomal RNA", at positions 509 to 807 of the family's 1533-position model. The record is from RNAcentral.